UGGGGAAUAUUGCACAAUGGGCGAAAGCCUGAUGCAGCAACGCCGCGUGAGGGAAGACGGUUUUCGGAUUGUAAACCUCUGUUUUCGGUGACGAACAAAUGACGGUAACCGAGUAGGAAGCCACGGCUAACUACGUGCCAGCAGCCGCGGUAAUACGUAGGUGGCAAGCGUUAUCCGGAAUUACUGGGUGUAAAGGGAGCGCAGGCGGGAUAGCAAGUCAGCUGUGAAAACUAUGGGCUCAACCCAUAAACUGCAGUUGAAACUGUUAUUCUUGAGUGGAGUAGAGGUAAAUGGAAUUCCUAGUGUAGCGGUGGAAUGCGUAGAUAUUAGGAGGAACACCAGUGGCGAAGGCGAUUUACUGGACGAUAACUGACGCUGAGGCACGAAAGCGUGGGGAGCAAACAGGAUUAGAUACCCUGGUAGU
RNAcentral lists this ribosomal RNA (424 nucleotides) under uncultured Oscillospiraceae bacterium. RNAcentral's name for it is "bacterial SSU rRNA". It matches the Rfam family "Bacterial small subunit ribosomal RNA", at positions 355 to 794 of the family's 1533-position model. The record is from RNAcentral. Lineage: Bacteria; Bacillati; Bacillota; Clostridia; Eubacteriales; Oscillospiraceae.